AUAGAGCCUUGUUCAUGUUGAAGGAAUGUAACUUUUUUCUUUCAGCUCAAGAGUUCUCCGGAUGUAAACGGAAUCGUGUUUAUUUACCUGAUAGAGGUCAUCCAAAUGUUGAUUGUGAUUACCCUGGAAGUAAUGCUCUGAUUUUUAACCUGGAAAAUCGGUGUACUGAUAAACUCUCAGCUUUACCUGGAUAUUCCGAAAUUUUCUGGCCUCCACCAACUUGGCUCUUCUCUAAGGGUUAGCUGCUUGAAGAGCCUUGUUUGCAGAUGCUUAUUGGAGAUGCUAACCAUGUCAAGAAGCAUUCAAUUCCUUCCAAAGAAAGUUGUCAGUAAUCUGACUUGGUUAUAGAUUUGUGAGUAAUAGAAUAUUCUUUACAACAACUAGAAUAUUCAUAAUCAGCCUUGUUUAUUAUAAUUUAUUUGUUAGUUUAAAGAAAUCUGACAGUGUUAUGUCUUGUACGACAUAUUUGUAGGCUUUGUGAGAUCGUAAUAAUUGUGUUUUUCUUGUUUU
Molecule: long non-coding RNA, 510 nt
Organism: Pistacia vera
Lineage: Eukaryota; Viridiplantae; Streptophyta; Magnoliopsida; Sapindales; Anacardiaceae
Exons: 2
Source: RefSeq, a predicted model, not a curated record